GCGACUGUAGCUCAGUUGGUUAGAGCACCUGGUUGUGGUCCAGGGGGUCGAGGGUUCGAGCCCCUUCAGUCGCC
Molecule: transfer RNA, 74 nt
Filed under: Phycisphaerales bacterium
Lineage: Bacteria; Pseudomonadati; Planctomycetota; Phycisphaerae; Phycisphaerales
Description: tRNA-His
Rfam family: tRNA
About the family: Transfer RNA (tRNA) molecules are approximately 80 nucleotides in length.
Source: RNAcentral